ACGCUCGACACCUACGGGGCAGCAGUGAGGAAUAUUGGUCAAUGGGCGCUAGCCUGAACCAGCCAAGUAGCGUGAAGGAUGAAGGCUCUAUGGGUCGUAAACUUCUUUUAUAUAAGAAUAAAGUGCAGUAUGUAUACUGUUUUGUAUGUAUUAUAUGAAUAAGGAUCGGCUAACUCCGUGUCAGCAGCCGCGGUAAUCUGAGCGGGCUGGCAAGGC
This 216-nucleotide ribosomal RNA is filed under the name uncultured bacterium. RNAcentral's name for it is "partial 16S ribosomal RNA". It matches the Rfam family "Bacterial small subunit ribosomal RNA", at positions 326 to 539 of the family's 1533-position model. The record is from RNAcentral.